Molecule: ribosomal RNA, 497 nt
Filed under: uncultured bacterium
Lineage: Bacteria
Description: partial 16S ribosomal RNA
Rfam family: Bacterial small subunit ribosomal RNA
Source: RNAcentral
GAUGAACGCUGGCGGCGUGCCUAAUACAUGCAAGUCGAGCGAACAGACGAGGAGCUUGCUCCUCUGACGUUAGCGGCGGACGGGUGAGUAACACGUGGAUAACCUACCUAUAAGACUGGGAUAACUUCGGGAAACCGGAGCUAAUACCGGAUAAUAUAUUGAACCGCAUGGUUCAAUAGUGAAAGACGGUUUUGCUGUCACUUAUAGAUGGAUCCGCGCCUCAUUAGCUAGUUGGUAAGGUAACGGCUUACCAAGGCAACGAUGCGUAGCCGACCUGAGAGGGUGAUCGGCCACACUGGAACUGAGACACGGUCCAGACUCCUACGGGAGGCAGCAGUAGGGAAUCUUCCGCAAAGGGCGAAAGCCUGACGGAGCAACGCCGCGUGAGUGAUGAAGGUCUUCGGAUCGUAAAACUCUGUUAUUAGGGAAGAACAGAUGUGUAAGUAACUAUGCACGUCUUGACGGUGCCUAAUCAGAAAGCCACGGCUAACUACGUG